Molecule: long non-coding RNA, 383 nt
Filed under: Setaria viridis
Lineage: Eukaryota; Viridiplantae; Streptophyta; Magnoliopsida; Poales; Poaceae
Description: long non-coding RNA (SVIR_LNC002101)
Source: RNAcentral
CUCGGUAUGUAGGGUCCGCAUUUUUCUGUAUUCUAGAACGUGGGUGGGCGUCGACAUUUUUCUGUAGUCUGUAACGUGGGUAUGGCGGUCGGCUUUUUUUUUGUAUUCUUGAAGGCUCACUCUGGAAUCUGUAGCAGUAAUGAUAUAUUUUGUCUUAAACAAUGUACCAUUUGCAAUGUGAUUUGUAUCCAAGAUUUUCAUGGCUAUCCAAGCUUUAGAUUGUAUUCUCUCUUGCAGUCAAGCAGUUCAAGCUUUAGAUUUUCAAUUCUUUUUGCCAUAGCUACUUAUUGAAGUACACUAUUUUACAAAAUAACUUAAUGCUUUUUCUUGUUACUUGUAGAUCCCACUAGCACCAUUAAGAGUUGGGGAAGGUGAACUUCCGC